Molecule: ribosomal RNA, 320 nt
Filed under: uncultured bacterium
Lineage: Bacteria
Description: bacterial SSU rRNA
Rfam family: Bacterial small subunit ribosomal RNA
Source: RNAcentral
UGACGGUACCUGACUAAGAAGCUCCGGCUAAAUACGUGCCAGCAGCCGCGGUAAUACGUAUGGAGCAAGCGUUAUCCGGAUUUACUGGGUGUAAAGGGUGUGUAGGCGGCAUGGCAAGUCAGAAGUGAAAGACCGGGGCUCAACCCCGGGGCUGCUUUUGAAACUGCUGUGCUCGAGUCCAGGAGGGGCAAGCGGAAUUCCUAGUGUAGCGGUGAAAUGCGUAGAUAUUAGGAAGAACACCGGUGGCGAAGGCGGCUUGCUGGACUGGAACUGACGCUGAGGCACGAAAGCGUGGGGAGCAAACAGGAUUAGAUACCCUG